This is a non-coding RNA of Cinara cedri, 380 nucleotides long. Lineage: Eukaryota; Metazoa; Arthropoda; Insecta; Hemiptera; Aphididae. The record is from the annotation of a GenBank genome assembly.
AAUUGAUAAUCACUGUAAAUUUUUUUAGGUCAAAAAUAAGUUUGUGUGGGCCCAUUGUAAAUCACUGCGCCAGAGGCCCAAUCACGAGCCAGACCAACACUUUUUUUGAAUGCCGAAAACGGCAACAAUCCUGUGUAAAGGCUUCGCCGAAAAAUCGUGUUCUCCUUGUAACAAUGUUUUUUUUCUGUGUCGGAAUAUAAAAUAAUUGUUAGACAGUUACUAAAUUAAAACGUUUAACCGAAAUUUCGGGCCACAGAUAAAAAGUGAAACCUGCUUAUAGCUGACCUCCCCUAUAGGCUAUAAGGCGGAAAUCUUAAAACAGUUCUGCAUAACCUAUAACCCGUAUGUAUUAGUCUCCCUAUAACGGAAAAAUUAGUUGG